GCCCUUCGCUGAUGAUUGAUAACGAAGACGCACAUAUACACGGCUGGGAAGAAACGCGAAGUGACGAAAUCCACAGCUAAGAGAACGAACUAGAAAUCAAGUGAGUCAUGUCUGCUGUCCUCCUGUUCCUGCAGCUUCCCGAGGCUUUGAGAGAUCCAACCUCUGAAGAUGAAUCGAAGACCAGUCCUUCUGCAUCACAUGCCACUCAGGACUGCUCUCACAGAGCCCGGAUGUAGUCAGCCUUGCCCAGCAGCCUCCAGGAGUUCCUGUGCACCCUAUUUUUCUCAAUACCACAGUAUCACUAAAGGUCUGAACUGGAACAUAUCAAGAAGACACACGAGAAGGUCAAGGUGAUGGAGCUCUUGGCUGGUUAUCCACCUCACAAAGAGCCAAUCAGCAAAGCUUGAAUGACCUGUGUUUUCAUCUCUGACUCCUCUGCUCGGAGGCAUCAGUAAGUAGAUCAGUACAGAAGACUGUCCCUAAGGGGCUGGGCAUGUAGCUUAGUGGUUAGAGUCCUUGCCUAGCAUUUGUGGGGCUGUGUGUUCGAUUCUCAGCACCACAAUAAUCAGGUAUGGAUGCACACGGCUGUACUCCUGGGACCUUGGAGGUAGGAGGAUCACACGUCAAGGCCAUCCUCAGCUACACAGUGAGUUUGAGGCUAGCCUGGGCUAUGUGAGGCUACAUAAAAUACAAAAGACUAUCCCUGAGGGGAGGGUCUAUGAUCUGUGUCCAUUAUCUGUGCCCCAGCACAGUGGUCCUCAAUAAAUGCUUUUUAUGUAAACGAAUGCUUUUAUAUGUUUCCCUAGUGGGUAUUUGGCCAGAGAACAAGCUCGUCACACAGUCCUGCUGUGAUGUGGCCAUGUCAAACUUCCCAUGUCUUAAUUUCUUUAGCUCUAAAUAGAGAUAACAACACAUAUCCCACAGAGCUGACAGGAGGAUUAACUGGAAGGAAGCCUUUAAGCACUCUGUGUGUGUCUGGUACCCAGGGAAUGAUCAUGAUGGGCAUUUGUACUGUCUCCAGUGCCUCUGCGUCCAUUCUCUGGAUAUAGGCAUGUGCUUUCCCCGCGAUUCACUUCAGUGUGCUUGUGGGUGAGGAGCCGACGAGUCACGGAGCAUGUGGGUUUAAAUUUCAGAACUGGCAACAGGUCGCAUUUUAAAAAGCUGGUACAGAUUAUGCAUAUGCAUCCUGGUGGAUCACAGGCCUUAACUUAAGGAUGUCUUGCAUUUCUCAAGCCUUUGCUCUUGAGGGAGGGUGAGUGACUUGUUAUCUUGUGUAACCCAAGAGAAAGUUCUCCAUCCCACCCUGCCCUGUGGCCCAGCAUGAAACAGCUCUGUUGGAAAAUCCUAGACAUGGUGCCUAAUGUAAUCAAAGAGGCUUUAGUUGUGUCUCUCAAAGAGCAUUACUGAGGCAUUACUCAGAACUUCAAAGGCUGCUUCUCAAGCAUUUUCUUUUCUUCUUGUGUUCUAUGUCCCUGCAGACAGAGGGGCCCCAGGGGGUGGGUUGGGGGUGAGUCACAAGCCCAAAGGCUGGUUCUCACUACCUGUGAUCCCUGUAGUGAAGUGUUCAUCUUUGAUUUGCACAAAGCCCUCUCCACAUCUGCUGGGAGUAGGCCAAGUCAGUGUUGUGUUGGGCGAAGGCCCCUGUCCUUGACUGCAUCCCCAGAAGUUGGGGUCCAGCAAUCGGGGGAUCUCCAGAGAGUGCAAAACGCCUGCAGAUGGCUACCCUUCAAAUGCUAACUCACCUUCAUUCUUGCUUCCAGCCUUUAGAUCCUAGGGGUAUCUGUAUAUGGAGAGUGAUGUAGUUACUAUGGAAACCUAGGCUACAAAAAAUUAUGUUAGUGAGUUGUGGCCAGCAUCUUUUAAAAAAUGAAAGAGACUAGAUCAGAAUAUAAACUAUGAGAAUGGAUUGCAAGUGGAAAGGGUAAACAUUUUUUCUAAUAAAAUGGCUCUCUCUAGUGAGCACGCGCACACACACA
Molecule: small RNA, 1976 nt
Filed under: Rattus norvegicus (Norway rat)
Lineage: Eukaryota; Metazoa; Chordata; Mammalia; Rodentia; Muridae
Description: uncharacterized LOC102547851
Source: RNAcentral